GUAACUGUAGCUGUCUCUGCACCUGUUGCAUUCAAAAUAGCAUGCUUUGUAAGACUUAUGCUGACAUAUUUCAGCACAGUUACAUCCCACAAAUAAGAACCAAAAAGACCAAUUUGCAUUUGCAUACAGUUAUUCAGUUUCGACAAUUUCCCAAGCCAAAAAAGAAAAUAUUGUAUCACUUCUUUUAGAAAACAAAUUGAUUUAUCUAUUUUGAUUUCAUAAGACAAAUCUACAACAACAAUUAAAAAGAUAUUACCAUUUGGAAAAUUAUACGGGUGAGUUCCAAACAAACCAGGAGGGAAUAACAAAAAAAUCUUUCCCAUCCACUGAUUUGAUAUUUUAGUUAUAUCCUUGUUAAUCAUGUAAUAUGCUAAACAAUAUCACAAAAGUGAGACAUUGAGAAGGAAAAUUUGCACACUCAAAAGCUAAUAUGACAUUAUGAUCUCCUUUCAGACAGGAAAAUGAGCAAUGAAAAUGGAAAGUAAGAAUAUGUAGUUAACCAUAGGGCAGUGAUAAGGAUUUUUUGUAUUGAUAAGGUUUUGAUGAAUUGGAUCCACUAUUAUUUAUGAUAUAACCAAGGCAUUGUCCUCAUUUUCAGUUUCAUCUUUUAAUGCAGAAAGUUUACAAAUUUUCCAUAAAAGAUCAUCUUUAAAAAAUAAAACAAUGGUAGAAGAAGAAAGGACAAGAAUCUCUAUAACCAAGAAAACAACAAAUGAUUGAGGAAAAUUCAUACCUGCAGUCCUGCACUAAGUGUAUAGCCCCACAUAUCAUCUUUGUGCAGAUUUUGCUUUUCCUUGAGAAAACCAGACAAAAAUCGGACAAAAGGUUGAGAUGGCAAAAGCUUAUUGGUUUAGUGUAUAUGUGGGGCCAUACACCAAGUGUAGGUAAGAAUUUUCCAAGCAUUCAAAUAUCAUUUAGAGAAAAGGAAGAACCAAAAUUGUACUAUUAAUGUUGUUAAUUUACUAUAUAUACCUGAACUUUCAACUGAUCAUCACUAAUCUUUUUCUCCUCAUUCAUGCAGGGUCUAUAAAUUCAACUGAUAAUAAUAACCAUACUAUUAAAAGAAAAACCUAAAAAUAAAACUAAUUUAGUGGAUACUAAAUUGCAAAGAAAAACCAUGCCUCCAAUUGCUCAUGCAGUCGCU
This 1144-nucleotide unclassified non-coding RNA is filed under the name Hevea brasiliensis (rubber tree). The record is from RNAcentral. Lineage: Eukaryota; Viridiplantae; Streptophyta; Magnoliopsida; Malpighiales; Euphorbiaceae.